Molecule: RNA transcript, 1704 nt
Organism: Salvia splendens (bonfire salvia)
Lineage: Eukaryota; Viridiplantae; Streptophyta; Magnoliopsida; Lamiales; Lamiaceae
Exons: 4
Source: RefSeq, a predicted model, not a curated record
AAUGCCAAUGUUUUUUGAACAUCGACUUUACUGAAAUCGAUUGUAUCGAAAAAAGUGGGCGGAGGUCGAGAGAGUUGCUGAUGGCGGCAGCCACUUUCAGAUAUUUGGUGCAGCUACACAGAGACGUUCCCAAAGCGGCGAGAUUUUAUUCGGAGGGCCUUGGCUUCACCAUUGAUGUCUGCACUCUCCGAUGGGCCGAGCUCCACUCUGGCCCGCUCAAGCUCUCCCUCCUCCAUUCUCCCAGCAACCGUGUUCAACAGAAGGGUUAUUCGUCGCUCCUAUCCUUCACAGUAAAGGACAUCAAUAGUACUGUGACGAAGUUGAUGACCUUAGGUGCCGAACUGGAUGGCCCAAUCAAGCAUGAAAUCCAUGGAAAGGUGGCAGCGAUGAAGUGUGCUGAUGGGCAUGUGUUAGGUCUAUAUGAGCCUGCUUAGGAGCUCCAAAAAUGAGUGUUGCAACGGUAAUGACAAAUUGAUGGAACAAAAUGUAACUUUCUGGCGCAUACACAGUUGUGAUUGCAGUUUGAAGGAAGGUUUUCCGUGAGAUGCUCGAUGGCAUAGAAGUAAGGCUUUCUCCUACUGUUGACGAUGCUCCUGGAUCUCUCUUCCACCAUCUUUCUGCAUGUCAUUUCAGCAAAUUUGCAUGCCAACAGGCCGCGUCACUUGCUUUCUUCGCGCAUUAUAUCUUCCGUCUCUGUCUUAGGCCGAGCACUGACGACAAAAACCAGGUACCCAAUUUGUCCUUUAACUCUAGGGCUGCCAAGAUGAGUUAGGAUAAUCUAUUUUUGGAAAUAAAGAUAUUCUUGAGUUAGAAAUGUAAUGGAAUGGAAAAAAAGAAGAAUUUUUUUGUGGGUGGAAAUAAGAGACUUGGUUGACUAUGGCCAAAACCCAAUGGCAGUGCUCUCUACACAUGGCUGUUGGUAUGUUAAAGUGGCUACUCAUGCUUGUCACUGUGCUGCCACAGAUCAUACGUGAUAGCUACCAAUAUCACUAGUACAUUUUGUCGGGCACGUUUUUAUUUGUAAUAUUACCUCGGCCAUAACAAAUAGUCGCAUUUUUCAUUUUAAUUCGUUCACCAAAAUUAAUCUCUAUUUAUUGGUAAGCAAUACUCCGAUCACUUUUUCUCUUUAUCUCUCUCAUACUUUAAUUAAUUUUGCAUUGAAUCUCAUGUCAUCCACUGUCAAGAGUGAAGACUAAUUUUUUUGGAUGGAGAUAGUAUAUUUUUCCUUACUUCAUCCAUGUAUAUUAUGUAUACAUAAAUAAUUUGCUCAAGCAAACAUGUUUUGAUACUACUUAGCAGCCCUCGUCGUUGGAUUGUUUUUGGUUUUAUGCCCUCUUGAACUAUUGUCUGCGUUUGGCUAAUAAAUUUACUUAAGUUAACAUUUGCCGUGAUGUGACACAUUUUGCAAUUAAAUUGAAUGGCGAUAGUUUGAUUCAUAGCAAAAGUCGUUCUAGGUGUUUUAGUAUUGUUAUUUCGGUUGGAUCAUGGAUGAUAUGUGGUAAAUUUCUAAGUCUGUUUUUGAGUCUCGGUCGUGUCGGCCAAAUUUGUGUCAUUGUGUGCAUUGUUAGCUAUUCAAAUGUGCAAGAAUGCUAUGUCUAACCUAAGAAUAUUAAAAAUGAAGUCUAAUUCCUUUUCACUUGUUUAAUCAAAUUAAGAGUAUAGUACUAUUUUGUCCUAAACAUAUGGCUGAUUUACAAUUUUGGU